Molecule: ribosomal RNA, 465 nt
Filed under: Vreelandella stevensii
Lineage: Bacteria; Pseudomonadati; Pseudomonadota; Gammaproteobacteria; Oceanospirillales; Halomonadaceae
Description: partial 16S ribosomal RNA
Rfam family: Bacterial small subunit ribosomal RNA
Source: RNAcentral
CCUACGGGGCGCUGCAGUGGGGAAUAUUGGACAAUGUGCGAAAGCCUGAUCCAGCCAUGCCGCGUGUGUGAAGAAGGCCUUCGGGUUGUAAAGCACUUUCAGUGGGGAAGAAAGCCUUGGGGCUAAUACCCUCGAGGAAGGACAUCACCCACAGAAGAAGCACCGGCUAACUCCGUGCCAGCAGCCGCGGUAAUACGGAGGGUGCGAGCGUUAAUCGGAAUUACUGGGCGUAAAGCGCGCGUAGGCGGUCUGAUAAGCCGGUUGUGAAAGCCCCGGGCUCAACCUGGGAACGGCAUCCGGAACUGUCAGGCUAGAGUGCAGGAGAGGAAGGUAGAAUUCCCGGUGUAGCGGUGAAAUGCGUAGAGAUCGGGAGGAAUACCAGUGGCGAAGGCGGCCUUCUGGACUGACACUGACGCUGAGGUGCGAAAGCGUGGGUAGCAAACAGGAUUAGAUACCCUGGUAGUC